GCGCUAGUGGUGUAGUGGUAUCAUGCAAGAUUCCCAUUCUUGCGACCUGGGUUCGAUUCUCGGCUAGCGCA
Molecule: transfer RNA, 71 nt
Filed under: Megalops atlanticus (tarpon)
Lineage: Eukaryota; Metazoa; Chordata; Actinopteri; Elopiformes; Megalopidae
Rfam family: tRNA
About the family: Transfer RNA (tRNA) molecules are approximately 80 nucleotides in length.
Source: Rfam by way of RNAcentral